This 495-nucleotide ribosomal RNA is filed under the name uncultured bacterium. Its description in RNAcentral is "partial 16S ribosomal RNA". It matches the Rfam family "Bacterial small subunit ribosomal RNA", at positions 28 to 507 of the family's 1533-position model. The record is from RNAcentral.
GACGAACGCUGGCGGCGUGCCUAAUACAUGCAAGUAGAACGCUGAAGGAGGAGCUUGCUUCUCUGGAUGAGUUGCGAACGGGUGAGUAACGCGUAGGUAACCUGCCUGGUAGCGGGGGAUAACUAUUGAAAACGAUAGCUAAUACCGCAUAAGAGUAGAUGUUGCAUGACAUUUGCUUAAAAGGUGCAAUUGCAUCACUACCAGAUGGACCUGCGUUGUAUUAGCUAGUUGGUGGGGUAACGGCUCACCAAGGCGACGAUACAUAGCCGACCUGAGAGGGUGAUCGGCCACACUGGGACUGAGACACGGCCCAGACUCCUACGGGAGGCAGCAGUAGGGAAUCUUCGGCAAUGGACGGAAGUCUGACCGAGCAACGCCGCGUGAGUGAAGAAGGUUUUCGGAUCGUAAAGCUCUGUUGUAAGAGAAGAACGAGUGUGAGAGUGGAAAGUUCACACUGUGACGGUAUCUUACCAGAAAGGGACGGCUAACUACGUG